Long non-coding RNA from Aphidius gifuensis, 528 nucleotides. RefSeq lists it as uncharacterized. The record is from RefSeq and is a predicted model, not a curated record. The transcript is spliced from 2 exons. NCBI's taxonomy places the organism in Eukaryota, Metazoa, Arthropoda, Insecta, Hymenoptera, Braconidae.
UACGUCUGUUUAUUCAAUUUUUUUUUUUUUGCUAAGUGAUUAAAUUUCUUGACCGUGGUUUAAUUUAUCCAAUGAAAUUUUCCUUAUUUUUUUUAUAAUUAAUGUUUUUCUUUCAUACAAUAUAACAACACUUUCAAUGAAAUAAAUAGUCAUGGAUUUUUUUUCAAAUUAUUCAGUCCAAUUUACAGCCCAAAGCAGUAACUUGUCAAAGUUAAAAAAAAAAUCCAAGAUGAACUUCAACUUCAUUGUUUUGGCUAUAAGUGCCAUGAUUGCAUUGAUGUUUGCUGCAACAGAAGUAUCUGCAGCUUGUAAACCAAGAUGGGCCAAUGAUUGUACAUCCGAUGGGGAAUGUUGUACUGGCUGGUGUAACACCAACAAUGGUGCAUGGCGCCAAGGUGUUUGUGAUUACAAAUAAAUACCAACCAACAUUGUUUUUUAUUUUUUUAUUUUAUUUUUGCAUAUUUGAAAAUGUAAUAAUUUCAUGAAUAAAAAUUGUUGAAUUUAAAAUUAUAUUUUUAACAUUGUAAU